Molecule: microRNA precursor, 98 nt
Filed under: Sus scrofa (pig)
Lineage: Eukaryota; Metazoa; Chordata; Mammalia; Artiodactyla; Suidae
Description: mir-544 microRNA precursor family
Rfam family: mir-544 microRNA precursor family
Source: Rfam by way of RNAcentral
AUCAUCUGUGGAUCUUGUUAAAAUGCAGAUUCUGAUUCAGUAGGUCUGGGGUGAAGCCCAAGAUUUUGCAUUUCUAACAAGCUCUCAAGUGAUGCCCA